Molecule: non-coding RNA, 778 nt
Organism: Myodes glareolus (Bank vole)
Lineage: Eukaryota; Metazoa; Chordata; Mammalia; Rodentia; Cricetidae
Source: RefSeq, a predicted model, not a curated record
UAUUUCAGCUAGGCUGGCUGGCCAGCAAACCUCUAGGUCCUGUUGUGUUUGCCCCUUCACAACAGGGAUUACAGGAAUGUGCCACCACACCCAGUUUUCAUACGGGUGUAGGGAAUCUAAACUCGGGUCCUCACUUUUUCUUAGUACUUUCUAGACUGAGCCAUCUGCUCUGCCUCCAGUUUGUUCGACUUUAUUGUGAAGCAGACUUGCUUCCAGCGCAGAGCCCCCGACAAGGAUUCAGUGUCAUUGGCUUAAUGAGAAACCGAACCUAGAGAGUAAGAGUGCAAAAGCAGACCCGGGUAUGCAGAGGAAGAGAGAGGCCCGUGGAAAGGUGCACUGGCUGCUACUGGGUGCCUCGUGAAAGCAUCCAUAAUUGCCCAUAUCAUGGGCAAGAGGCAUGAUAUUUUCCAGCUUCCAGUUCCCAGUUCUCAGGCUGAGGUUGCCUUUGCUGGGAAAGAAAGCAGAGAACAAACUGAGGUAAGGGCUUUCAAGCUCCUGGUGAACUUGAAUCUGCAGAGAACCACGGCCGAGGCUGAAGUCUGGGUGUGCACAGGGCCUGUGGGAGCCUCCAGAAGCAUCAUGCAAGCUGAUGUCUGCUCAGAAGGUCCAUUGACUGCAAUGAGAAUCUACUUAGAGAUGAUUUGUGCUGGCAAGUUGCAUACAGACAGUGUACUCUGGAAACAGCAGAGCCCCACCUUGGUAUCUGGACCCCACCACAUAACACCCUGUACUGAGCAAUAGCUGUUGUGACCAGUCACCCUACUCUUUCUGCGGAAGG